CCUUGGCAAGAUAAAGGCAACACCUGACUGAUAUAUUGGCUUCCCACUGAGGUGUUGCAUUUAAGAAAAAAAGGUUCAUGCAUUUGCCUCAGUCAGUAUUGCUGUAAACCUAAACCUCACGGAAGGCUAUUAUAGCAUCGGGAACAGAUGGUGAAGAUUUCCAUAAAACAGAAAGGGAAACAGACUUGUCUGAAGUGAGGUCACUAUUCUCUUUCAUGAGGACUCUACUCUCGUGACCUAAUCACCUCCCAAAGGCCCUGCCUCCCAAUUCCAUCAGGCUGCGUGGAUGAACACUGCUUCCAGGACUCACAUAAUUGCACCUAAAGUCAUAGAAUGUUACAGCUGGAGGAACGCUGAGAGUUUGCCCAAGAUCCUUCCCCAGCAUUUACAGGUGAGGCGUUUGGAGCUCCAGAGAGAUUAAGAUUUCUGGAGGUCACUGAGUUAGUGUCUGGCAGGAUCCGCACUGGACCCUCGGUCUCCCGAAUCCCAGAGCAGAAGGCAUUCCACCACACCUUGACGUUUUCCAGCACGGGCAAGGGCAGCGCCCUGGACAGGGCACUGUUUCCUACAGUUCGACCUCAGCCCUGGGCUGUAUAUAGCCAGAGGACCUGAAGAAAUUUCUCUUCCCAGAGCUCACUGGUAUUUCUGAGCAUUACUUUAAUGAGAAGGUAUUUUUAGCUCUUAUUCUGCCAGAAGCAUUCUUCUUGCUCAUUUUCAGAGCUGCUGGGUUCAAGCUUGGAGGCCAGAAUAACUUAGGUUAUUUUUUUUUAAUUAAAAAAUUCAAUUCGAUAAUCCUUUAGCAAAUGCUUUUAAAUGCAUAAGGCAUCGAACUGAGUGCUUUGUGGAUAGAGACGUGAAUAAAAAGGAUCUCUGUUUCCAAGUAGCUUACAAGCUAUGGCGGAAUGGAGAGCCACAGGCUUCAUCAAGGAAGGUGAUGGUAGGGACAUGUUACAAAUGACAACAAGUGGGGCACCUGGGUUGGCUCAGCCGAUUAAGCAUCCGACUUCGGCUCGGGUCAUGAUCUCACAGUUCGUGGGUUCGAGCCCCAUGUUUGGCUCUGUGCUGACAGCUUGGAGCCUGCAGCCUGCUUUGGAUUCUGUGUCUCCCUCUCUCUCUCUCUCUCUCUCUGCCCCUUCC
This is a long non-coding RNA of Acinonyx jubatus (cheetah), 1137 nucleotides long. RefSeq lists it as uncharacterized. The record is from RefSeq and is a predicted model, not a curated record. Lineage: Eukaryota; Metazoa; Chordata; Mammalia; Carnivora; Felidae. The transcript has 4 exons.